Molecule: long non-coding RNA, 650 nt
Filed under: Olea europaea (common olive)
Lineage: Eukaryota; Viridiplantae; Streptophyta; Magnoliopsida; Lamiales; Oleaceae
Description: long non-coding RNA (OEUR_LNC007343)
Source: RNAcentral
GUGCAAUUGAGCCAUCAGAGGUAUCAUUUAGUUGAAUACUAGGACUAUUGAUGAUACCGCUAUCUAAUGAUUGCACUGUAGUGUCAUUGAGCUUUGCUUCCAUUAUACUUGACGAUUGAUCCUUGUCUGAAUGGGAAAAUACAGGUGCGACAGAAAACUCAAGAGGAACAUUGUCUUUAAAAUCUUUAGUUUCCUGCAUUCUGAUAAUAUCCUAAGCAGAGCCAAGUGACCUGGUCAAGGAACCAGAAAGAGUACAUAAAAAAUUAGCUGAAGUAAAAAAUGUAUUAUCUUUUAUCAUCCCUCAGAAGAAAAGUAUAAAAAUAAAAUUGUCUGAAUGGGAAAAUACAGGUGCGACAGAAAACUCAAGAGGAACAUUGUCUUUAAAAUCUUUAGUUUCCUGCAUUCUGAUAAUAUCCUAAGCAGAGCCAAGUGACCUGGUCAAGGAACCAGAAAGAGUACAUAAAAAAUUAGCUGAAGUAAAAAAUGUAUUAUCUUUUAUCAUCCCUCAGAAGAAAAGUAUAAAAAUAAAAUAAAGUAAGUGGAGUUGAUAACAGUGAUAAGAAAUAAAGAUCAACUAAAGGUAAUGUGAAUCAUCUUCUCUUUUUUCACGAAGUUAUAGAGUAACUAUUAGUGUAAAUGACAGAUUCCUG